RNAcentral lists this ribosomal RNA (337 nucleotides) under Sphingomonas sp. BAL8. Its description in RNAcentral is "bacterial SSU rRNA". It matches the Rfam family "Bacterial small subunit ribosomal RNA", at positions 137 to 509 of the family's 1533-position model. Lineage: Bacteria; Pseudomonadati; Pseudomonadota; Alphaproteobacteria; Sphingomonadales; Sphingomonadaceae. The record is from RNAcentral.
UUCGGAAUAACAGUUGGAAACGACUGUUAAUACCGGAUGACGACGUAAGUCCAAAGAUUUAUCGCCGAGGGAUGAGCCCGCGUAGGAUUAGCUAGUUGGUGUGGUAAGAGCGCACCAAGGCGACGAUCCUUAGCUGGUCUGAGAGGAUGAUCAGCCACACUGGGACUGAGACACGGCCCAGACUCCUACGGGAGGCAGCAGUGGGGAAUAUUGGACAAUGGGCGAAAGCCUGAUCCAGCAAUGCCGCGUGAGUGAUGAAGGCCUUAGGGUUGUAAAGCUCUUUUACCCGGGAUGAUAAUGACAGUACCGGGAGAAUAACUCCGGCUAACUCCGUGCC